RNAcentral lists this ribosomal RNA (253 nucleotides) under uncultured bacterium. RNAcentral describes it as "partial 16S ribosomal RNA". It matches the Rfam family "Bacterial small subunit ribosomal RNA", at positions 524 to 776 of the family's 1533-position model. The record is from RNAcentral.
UACGUAGGGUGCAAGCGUUGUCCGGAAUUAUUGGGCGUAAAGAGCUUGUAGGCGGUUUGUCGCGUCUGCUGUGAAAUUUCGGGGCUCAACCCCGAACUUGCAGUGGGUACGGGCAGACUAGAGUGUGGUAGGGGAGACUGGAAUUCCUGGUGUAGCGGUGAAAUGCGCAGAUAUCAGGAGGAACACCAAUGGCGAAGGCAGCACUCUGGGACGUGACUGACGCUGAGACGCGAGAGCGUGGGGAGCAAACAGG